AUGAGCAUUAAAAAGGAGAGAGAGAGGGAGAAGUAUCUCUUGAGAAAGUACAUCCUAUUCCCAAGUGUGAAACCCUUUGUUAUACAAGACGUGCCACAAGAAAUGAGAGUAAAAGGUAAGAAACCCAAGGAAAAGUUCCAAAAAUUGCAAACUGACAGUAUGCAAGAAGAGUUUGCCUCAUUAGCAUAUUUAAUUAGCUUUUUGAUGUUGACUAACAUACUGCGAUUUGGGAAUUGGUUGCUGUGAUGAAUUAUGGCCCCCAAAGAUGUCUGUAUCCUAACUGCCAACACCUGAAAAUGUUGCCUUAUAUGGCAAUAGGGAUUUUGCAGAUAUGAUUGAGUUAAGGAUUUUAAGAUAGGAAGAUCAUCCUGGAUUAUCAGGGUGGGUCUGAAGUAAUCAUAAUGGUCCUUAUGAGAGAUGCCAGAGGAGUCAGAGUCAGACAGAAGGAGAUGUGAAAACUGAGGCAGAGGGAUGGAGAAAACUUUGAAUAAGUUAUCCUCCUGGCUUUGAAGAUACAAGAAGGGAGCCAUGAUUCAAAUGAUGUAGAUAGCCCUAGGAAUAUGGCAAAGACAAGAAAAUGGAUUCUUCCCUGAAUCCUCUGGAAGGAACUAUACUGCAUACUCAUUUUAGACUUCUGACCUCUAGAACUGUAAGAGAAUGUAUUUGUGUUGUAUUCAGUUGCUAAAAUGUGGAAUUUGUUAUAGCAUCAAUAGCAAACUAAUACAGUUGUCUAUAAUUCAUCAAACUUAGAAGAUUUCAGAUACAGAUUCAGACUUUUUUAUUUUUGCUUCUGUUGAGAACUGGAAAAUUUAAUGAGGGCUGAGUAUCGCCACCUCCUUCUGUCAAUGACUGGUUAAAGCUGUUCCCUUUAGAGGGUGUACGUUCUCUAGUCUACCAAUGCUUUCAGACUAUGUAUUUUUUUUCUUUGAAAUCUCUGGUAGACAUUUGAAUUUGUGACUCCUGCUAUGUGGUCUUAUACUUUGCAUUUUACUUAAUAUUCAUCUCAUACUUAGCUUUUUAAAGAAUUAUAUCUAAUUAUCCAAUUUUUACAAAUGGCAUUCUAUUAAACUAUUUGUAUCAGGCUAUUCUCACAUUGCUAUAAAUAAAUACCAGAGACUGGGUAAUUUAAAAAGAAAAAAGGUCUAGUUGGCUCACACUUCUGAAGGCUGUACAAGAUGCGUGGUGCUGGCCUCUUCCUGGCUUCUGGGAGGCCUCAGGAAACUUACAAUCAUGGUGGAAGUGGGGAGCAGAAAACAUCACAUGGCCAGAGUAAGAGUGAGAGAGGAAGCAGGAAGGUGCCAUACACUUUUCAAUAGCUAGAUUUCAUGAGACCUCAGUCACUGUCACAAAAAUAGCACCAAGGGGAUGAUGCCAAACCAUUCAAGAGAAACAUAAACUUAUCAUUCAACUACCUCCCUCCAACAUUGGAGAUUACAAUUCAAUAUGAGAUUUGAGCCACAACACAUAUCCAAACUAUAUCACUAUUGAUCCUGAGAAUUUUUAUUCUCAUUUACUUGUUUUCCACCACUCACCUCUUUCUUUCCUUAAACUUUUUGAAGAUUUUCUACUGUUGGUGAGCCAUAAUUACAUUAUAGCGUAUUGAAUGGGUGGAAUUCAGGAGUAUCUGGAUGCAAUCAGUGCGUUCUCUUUCACUGCUAGCUAUCUCGUCUGCUAUUCCUUCAUGAAAUCUCCGGCACAUUGGGCACUCGCACAUACUAACAGUUUCAUAUCCCAGGUACUAAAAUGUCCAAUGCAGGUUAAUAUUAAACUUUCCCAUUCCCCCUCAACUUUGGUGGGCUUUAAGCUUCAGUGAAGAAAAGGAGUGUAUAUGAGAGAGAGAGAGUUAACUGAUCCUCCAGAGGCUCUGGAGAAAAGUCAUUUCCUUCCUUUUCCAGCUUGCAGAGCUGCAUUCAUUGCGUUCAUCAGCUCCUGGUCCUUUCCUGAAGCCCCUUUAAGUCAGCAGCUUAGCACAGCUUCAGUCCUAACACCGCCUAUCUUCGUUAGCCGUAUAUCUGCCUCUGCUUCCCUCUUACAGGGACACUUGUGAUUACUUUAUUUGGCCCACCUGGAUAAUCUCGGCUACUCUCAUCUCAAGAUCCUUAACUUGAUCACAUCUGCAAAAUCCUUACCAUAUAAAGUAGCAUUCAUAGGUACUAGGAAUUAAGACAUGAACAUCCUUGGGGGCCACAAUUCAGCAAACUGCAUUCAGCCUACAGAAUUAAAGCCACAACAACAAAAAAGAUUGUACACUAAUUGGAAUUCUAACUACCAAAUUUUACGGUCCUCAUCCUACUACCAUUCUCUGUUGCAUUUAAAAUAGCUAACCAUUUGUCCCUUCUUUAAACAGUUUUCUACAUUGGAUUCCAGAUGCUGUCUUUCUUUUCUACCUCUUCUGCUAGAUUCCAUUCUCUUUCACCCAACUUUUUGACUCUGCAUUCAUUCCACCCCCAUUUCUCUAUGCCCAUGUCUCCCACUGUCAUAAUUCCUAAUGAGUCACAAAUCUAUAUUUCAAGCUCCAGUCUCUUUUUCACUAGUAUAUGUAACCACAUUUUGGGCAUAGUCCUCUGAAACUCAUUGUUUCCAAAAACGAACCCAUUAUCUUGUCAGGCAAACUUGCCAGUCUUCUCAUAUAUUUUUUUGUUUUUCUUUCAUUUUAUUCUCAUUGGCACUAUCAUUGUUUAGGGCCUUAAUUUUAUUUUAUUCCUGAACUGCUGUAGCAGCCUUUAAUUGGUAGCCCCACCCUCAGUCUUUCCUCACUCAAAUCCAUUUUUCACAUCAUGGCUAGAUUACUAUUUCUUUUUUUGGAGUGCAGUGGUGUGAUCUUGGCUCACUGCAACCUUCACCUCCUGAGUUCAAGGGAUUCUCCUGCCUCAGCCUCCCAAAUAACUGGGAUUACAGGCCUAGACCACCACCCCCACUAAUUUUUGUAUUUUUAGUAGAGACAGGGUUUCGCCAAGUUGGCCAGGCUGGUUUUGAACCCCUAACUUCAAGUGAUCCAUCCUCCUCAGCAUUCCAAAGUGCUAGGAUUACAGGCAUGAGCCACCGCACCAGACUUAGAUUAACAUUUUUAAAACUCAAAAGUAGUCAUAUAACUCUAUAUGCAUAAAAUGACAACAACAACAACAAAAUCUUAGAGGCUGGGUGCAGUGGCUCAUGUCUGUAAUUCCAGCACUUUGGAAGGCCAAGGCGUGUGGAUCACCUGAGGUCAGGAGUUUAAGACCAGCCUGAGCAAUAUGGAGAAAUCCUGUCUCUACUAAAAAUGCAAAAUUAACCGGGUAUGGUGGUGCAUGCCUGUAAUCCCAGCUACUGGGGAGACUGAGGCAAAAGAAUCACUUGAACCUGGGAGGCGGAGGUUGUGGGGAGCUGAGAUCACACCAUUGCACUCCAGCCUGGGCAACAAGAGCAAAACUCCAUCUAAAAAAAAAAUUAGAUAACCACUUCCAUCCCCAAGAUAAAUUUAGAAUUUUGACCCCUCACAUUGAAUGUCAUUUUUAAUCUGGCCCUGCUCUAACUCUUCAUGUUCUUUUAUUGUCACUUCUUUUCAACUCCCAGCCACACUAGAUGAAUCUAUUUCCAGGAAACAUCUUGCACUUUCAGAAUGGCUGGUAUUUCCUUUUUUUCUACGUUUUCCUAAAUAGCAUUCUGCUAAGAUGAAACUCUCCUC
This 3664-nucleotide long non-coding RNA is filed under the name Callithrix jacchus (white-tufted-ear marmoset). Its description in RNAcentral is "lncRNA (ENSCJAG00000085969.1)". Lineage: Eukaryota; Metazoa; Chordata; Mammalia; Primates; Cebidae. The record is from RNAcentral.